AACGCACAUUGCGCCCCUCGGUAUUCCGUGGGGCAUGCCUGUUCGAGCGUCAUUUAACCCCUCAAGCCUAGCUUGGUAUUGGGUGCUUGUCCCGCCUCUCGCGCGGCGACUCACCUCAAAGUCAUUGGCAGCCCGCAUCUCGCCGGCCGUGAGCGCAGCACAGACGCGCUCUUGGCAACGUCGGAUCGGCUCCCCAAAAGCUUAUUUCAACCACUGACCUCGGAUCAGGUAGGGAUACCCGCUGAACUUAA
RNAcentral lists this unclassified non-coding RNA (251 nucleotides) under uncultured Pleosporales. Its description in RNAcentral is "sequence contains 5.8S rRNA gene, ITS2, 28S rRNA gene". Lineage: Eukaryota; Fungi; Ascomycota; Dothideomycetes; Pleosporales. The record is from RNAcentral.